CCUACGGGUGGCAGCAGUCGAGAAUCAUUCACAAUGGGGGAAACCCUGAUGGUGCGACGCCGCGUGGGGGAAUGAAGGUCUUCGGAUUGUAAACCCCUGUCAUGUGGGAGCAAAUUAAAAAGAUAGUACCACAAGAGGAAGAGACGGCUAACUCUGUGCCAGCAGCCGCGGUAAUACAGAGGUCUCAAGCGUUGUUCGGAAUCACUGGGCGUAAAGCGUGCGUAGGCUGGUUAGUAAGUCGUGGGUGAAAGGCGCGGGCUUAACCCGCGGACGGCACAUGAUACUGGGAGACUAGAGUAAUGUAGGGGGAACCGGAAUUCUCGGUGUAGCAGUGAAAUGCGUAGAUAUCGAGAGGAACACUCGUGGCGAAGGCGGGUUCCUGGACAUUAACUGACGCUGAGGCACGAAGGCCAGGGGAGCGAAAAGGAUUAGAUACCCCAGUAGUC
This 446-nucleotide ribosomal RNA is filed under the name uncultured bacterium. RNAcentral describes it as "partial 16S ribosomal RNA". It matches the Rfam family "Bacterial small subunit ribosomal RNA", at positions 338 to 795 of the family's 1533-position model. The record is from RNAcentral.